GCGCAGCCUGAUGCAGCCAUGCCGCGUGUGUGAAGAAGGCCUUCGGGUUGUAAAGCACUUUCAGUCAGGAGGAAAGGUUAGUAGUUAAUACCUGCUAGCUGUGACGUUACUGACAGAAGAAGCACCGGCUAACUCCGUGCCAGCAGCCGCGGUAAUACGGAGGGUGCGAGCGUUAAUCGGAAUUACUGGGCGUAAAGCGUACGCAGGCGGUUUGUUAAGCGAGAUGUGAAAGCCCCGGGCUCAACCUGGGAACUGCAUUUCGAACUGGCAAACUAGAGUGUGAUAGAGGGUGGUAGAAUUUCAGGUGUAGCGGUGAAAUGCGUAGAGAUCUGAAGGAAUACCGAUGGCGAAGGCAGCCACCUGGGUCAACACUGACGCUCAUGUACGAAAGCGUGGGGAGCAAACAGGAUUAGAUACCCUGGUAGUCCACGCCGUAAACGAUGUCUACUAGAAGCUCGGAGCCUCGGCUCUGUUUUUCAAAGCUAACGCAUUAAGUAGACCGCCUGGGGAGUACGGCCGCAAGGUUAAAACUCA
RNAcentral lists this ribosomal RNA (534 nucleotides) under Pseudoalteromonas sp. RNAcentral describes it as "bacterial SSU rRNA". It matches the Rfam family "Bacterial small subunit ribosomal RNA", at positions 375 to 903 of the family's 1533-position model. Lineage: Bacteria; Pseudomonadati; Pseudomonadota; Gammaproteobacteria; Alteromonadales; Pseudoalteromonadaceae. The record is from RNAcentral.